RNAcentral lists this long non-coding RNA (775 nucleotides) under Nicotiana benthamiana. RNAcentral's name for it is "long non-coding RNA (NBEN_LNC009103)". Lineage: Eukaryota; Viridiplantae; Streptophyta; Magnoliopsida; Solanales; Solanaceae. The record is from RNAcentral.
CUACAAUUGCCAGUUGCCUAAAGUUUUUCACAUGCAAAGCUUAAAAAUACACCUGGGCACUCUUCAAGAACAUGAACAUUCCCAUACUUGCUUUGAAUAAAUCAUUAAUCAUCAAAUGACAUAAGACAUGUACGUUCUAAUAUUGCAUAAUCCAACUAGACCACAUAUUUUCAGAUUAAACUAACGCCAUUCCCUAAAGGAGCUCUUAUGUUUAGAUAAUUAUUUAUGCUAGGGUCACUAAUGCUUCUUUGUUUUUGUUUUUGUUUUUAUUUUCCUUCACUGAGCCGAGGGUCGAUUGGAAACAGCCUGUCUGCCCUUUUGGGUAGGGGUAAGAUCCGUUUACAUAUUACCCUCCCCAGACCCCACUUUGUGGGACUAUACUGGGUAGUUGUUAUUGUAGUAUCUAUGGCCUCAAUAAAUCGAACCCAACACUAGUCAUGCCAACUCAAUAUGCUUAUCUCAUAUUAUAUAUGAAUUAUAUUGAUAUGCAUUCAAUUUAUAUUUACAAAUAUCAAAUUUACUUUAAAGAACUACAAUUACCAGUUGCCUAAAAGUUUUUCACAUCCAAUGCUUAAAAUUCCAAUAUUGCAUAAUCCAACUAGACCACAUAUUUUCAGAUUAAACUAACGCCAUUCCCUAAAGGAGGACACCUCUUUUGUUUCAACUACAAUCCCAAUUCCAAAAUCAAAUUCAAGUUGAAUAGCUAGGACAAUAUCAAGAGUGACAACAAAUUUCACCUAGCCAAGGACAUAAGGGUGUGGCUAGCAACUAAAAA